This 274-nucleotide ribosomal RNA is filed under the name uncultured bacterium. Its description in RNAcentral is "partial 16S ribosomal RNA". It matches the Rfam family "Bacterial small subunit ribosomal RNA", at positions 523 to 796 of the family's 1533-position model. The record is from RNAcentral.
AGACGGAGGGUGCAAACGUUGUUCGGAAUUACUGGGCAUAAAGAGCACGUAGGCGGCCAGGUCAGUUCGGUGUGAAAGCCCUCGGCUCAACCGGGGAACUGCAUCGGAUACUGCCUGGCUUGAGGACGCUUGGGGUGAGUGGAACUCCUGGUGGAGCGGUGAAAUGCGUAGAUAUCAGGAGGAACACCGGUGGCGAAAGCGGCUCACUGGACCGUCUCUGACGCUGAGGUGCGAAAGCUAGGGUAGCGAACGGAAUUAGAAACCCCAGUAGUCC